AGGCACCAGCAGCUUUUAUUUUCUCUUUGGGAUACUCUUCUGACAGAUAUUCAAGCACUCUAUAACUUCCCAAAAAUGAGAGGACAAAACCAGUAUAAUCAGUGGGUAUGUGCAGAAGCAUAUGCACGUGCAUAUAUCAUGAGCACAGGUGCUGGAGCCAGCACUGUCCAUCAACCUCUUACAUACGGGAGUUUUCUCUUUGAAGAGCAACAUUUUUAAUCCUCAAUUUAAUGAAGGAAGUCCCUGAAGAAUAUGAAGUGCAGACUAUUCAAAGAAUCAAGAAUCCUGCAUUAAGAAUUUUCUUCAAUAGCUGAGUGUUGCUGUGCUGGUGUGUCCUUUCCUUGGUUAAAACAAAGACAGAAGAGACUUCUGAAAUGACCACUUGCUGAUAGCAUAAGCCCAGAACUCAACUCUCCUAUCAUGUCAGUGCUGUUCACACCAGGUUUUUUUUCUCAGACUUCUUCUGUUGAACCUAGUCCUAUGAAAGCAAUUCUUUAGGAAGAUAACACAUAAAUGCAAUUUUUUGCCUUGUAAGCUUCUUUCAUUCAGUGCAGUUCAUAUACCUCAGGCUUUCCUCUUGCUAGUUUCAGAAACUGAUGUGUAAUUUUGCUUCUUUGAUGUGUAUUUUCAGCCAGUUUGAAGAUUAUAUGUUCUGUUGUGCUGUGUCCAUAAAAUAAAGAUGAACUGUGCUGAGCUCUACAAACUUUAUCAGCCUCGUGGAAGCUAAAAGCAAAAAGUUGAAUACAAGCAUAGCUAGGUUUAGUAGUAAAUGUUUGUCAGUUAUGUUAAAUUCAUAAUUUCAGCCUUUAACUGUUCUUCA
Molecule: long non-coding RNA, 820 nt
Organism: Catharus ustulatus (Swainson's thrush)
Lineage: Eukaryota; Metazoa; Chordata; Aves; Passeriformes; Turdidae
Exons: 3
Source: RefSeq, a predicted model, not a curated record